AGCGUGUCCGGAUUUAUGGGCGUAAGCGAGCGCAGGCGGUUUCUUAAGUCUGAUGUGAAAGCUUCGGCUCAACUGAAGAAGUGCAUCGGAAACUGGGAAACUUGAGUGCAGAAGAGGACAGUGGAACUCCCAUGUGUAGCGGUGAAAUGCGUAGAUAUAUGGAAGAACACCCAGUGGCGAAGGCGGCUGUCUGGUCUGUAACUGACGCUGAGGCUCGAAAGCAUGGGUAGCAAACAGGAUUAGAUACCCUGGUAGUCCAUGCCGUAAACGAUGAGUGCUAGGUGUUGGAGGGUUUCCGCCCUUCAGUGCCGCAAGCUAACGCAUUAAGCACUCCGCCUGGGGAGUACGACCGCAAGGUUGAAACUCAAAGGAAUUGACGGGGGCCCGCACAAGCGGUGGAGCAUGUGGUUUAAUUCGAAGCAACGCGAAGAACCUUACCAGGUCUUGACAUCCUUUGACCACUCUAGAGAUAGAGCUUUCCCUUCGGGGACAAAGUGACAGGUGGUGCAUGGUUGUCGUCAGCUCGUGUCGUGAGAUGUUGGGUUAAGUCCCGCAACGAGCGCAACCCUUAUUACUAGUUGCCAGCAUUUAGUUGGGCACUCUAGUGAGACUGCCGGUGACAAACCGGAGGAAGGUGGGGACGACGUCAAAUCAUCAUGCCCCUUAUGACCUGGGCUACACACGUGCUACAAUGGAUGGUACAACGAGUUGCGAGACCGCGAGGUUUAGCUAAUCUCUUAAAACCAUUCUCAGUUCGGAUU
This 761-nucleotide ribosomal RNA is filed under the name Latilactobacillus sakei. RNAcentral describes it as "bacterial SSU rRNA". It matches the Rfam family "Bacterial small subunit ribosomal RNA", at positions 537 to 1299 of the family's 1533-position model. Lineage: Bacteria; Bacillati; Bacillota; Bacilli; Lactobacillales; Lactobacillaceae. The record is from RNAcentral.